This 253-nucleotide ribosomal RNA is filed under the name uncultured bacterium. RNAcentral's name for it is "partial 16S ribosomal RNA". It matches the Rfam family "Bacterial small subunit ribosomal RNA", at positions 524 to 776 of the family's 1533-position model. The record is from RNAcentral.
UACGUAGGGUGCAAGCGUUAAUCGGAAUUACUGGGCGUAAAGCGUGCGCAGGCGGUCUUGCAAGACAGAUGUGAAAUCCCCGGGCUCAACCUGGGAACUGCAUUUGUGACUGCAUUGCUGGAGUGCGGCAGAGGGGGAUGGAAUUCCGCGUGUAGCAGUGAAAUGCGUAGAUAUGCGGAGGAACACCGAUGGCGAAGGCAAUCCCCUGGGCCUGCACUGACGCUCAUGCACGAAAGCGUGGGGAGCAAACAGG